GGCAGAUCUCAGAUGACAAACCCCAGCAUUGGGUUCCCUCUUCUCUGGUCCUGGGGUGCGUCACCCGAGAACCACA
Molecule: non-coding RNA, 76 nt
Organism: Myotis davidii
Lineage: Eukaryota; Metazoa; Chordata; Mammalia; Chiroptera; Vespertilionidae
Source: Rfam